GGAUUAGUCUCGUAGUGACCUGCGGAGGGAUCAUUACACAAAUAUGAAGGCGGGCUGGAACCUCUCGGGGUUACAGCCUUGCUGAAUUAUUCACCCUUGUCUUUUGCGUACUUCUUGUUUCCUUGGUGGGUUCGCCCACCACUAGGACAAACAUAAACCUUUUGUAAUUGCAAUCAGCGUCAGUAACAAAUUAAUAAUUACAACUUUCAACAACGGAUCUCUUGGUUCUGGCAUCGAUGAAGAACGCAGCGAAAUGCGAUAAGUAGUGUGAAUUGCAGAAUUCAGUGAAUCAUCGAAUCUUUGAACGCACAUUGCGCCCUUUGGUAUUCCAAAGGGCAUGCCUGUUCGAGCGUCAUUUGUACCCUCAAGCUUUGCUUGGUGUUGGGCGUCUUGUCUCUAGCUUUGCUGGAGACUCGCCUUAAAGUAAUUGGCAGCCGGCCUACUGGUUUCGGAGCGCAGCACAAGUCGCACUCUCUAUCAGCAAAGGUCUAGCAUCCAUUAAGCCUUUUUUUCAACUUUUGACCUCGGAUCAGGUAGGGAUACCCGCUGAACUUAAGCAUAUCAAUAAGCGGAGGAA
This 577-nucleotide ribosomal RNA is filed under the name Alternaria alternata. RNAcentral's name for it is "eukaryotic LSU rRNA". The stretch from base 202 to 355 matches the Rfam family "5.8S ribosomal RNA". The record is from RNAcentral. Lineage: Eukaryota; Fungi; Ascomycota; Dothideomycetes; Pleosporales; Pleosporaceae.